CAACUCUCUCCUCUUUCUCUCUCUCUCUCUAGGGUUUUGUUUUUCAUCGAUUGCACGAAAAAUUCCCCAAUUGGUCGUAUCUAUUCGAUCGAAAUGGAAAAUGGAGGCGAAAAUUGAGAUGUUGCUGAAUGUGGAGAAGCAGAUGAGGCAAGUGGGUGAUGUUGCAGGUACGAGGAAGGCCGUCACACCUCUUGCAAUUCUUCUUCUCACACCUCAAACGAUACCCCUCAUUUUCUCCCGCCAAGAAAGCCAAAGCCGGCGAAGGAGAGGAGCCGCAGUUCUGUGGGUACAAAUCCAAGAAAGGAAAACCCCGCUGGAAAAAACCCUUAAACCACCGUUUUCUCCCCAUCAUCAAACCCCACCCACACUCAGAUGGUGAAACCCUCUCACCUUCAUUUCUUUUUUCUUGUGUUCAUUUCUCACCCAAAAAACAGAGUAAAGAUAACCAAGAAAAGCAGGGGGGAGAGAUAGAGCGAGGAGGAGGCCUCAAAUUAUGGUUUGGGAUUACACUGGUUUUGGAUAUACAAGGUACAAUGCCAGAGACAUUAACAAAGAAAUACUAGGGUGUCAUUGUUAAGAGGAUAUAAAUCAGGCAGGAGACCUGAAAACUUGACAAGAUGGCAAUUCUGGAUGGCUUCAGAAGGCAUAUUCCGUUGAUUUCAGACCACUCAAAGUACCGCGUGCUGCUGCAUUCCAAGGGGCUCAUUAUAUUUCACCAUUGAAAAGGCAAAUAAUCUCGUAUGCAUCUGGUAACCAAGCUUGUACACUCGUUUAAGGAAGGUUCGGAGGAAUGGUCCAAGAAGGCGGUAGAGCUUGAGGAGUCAUGAAGACUUUAGAAGUAAGUUCUAUUUGUAAUUUAUUUAUCCAACAAUGGCGAAUGAUGCACAGUACACUAAUUCCUCUUGUGAACAUGCAGUUUGGUUGUGGAAUUUCAAAAUUAUCUGUUUGUCUUAUGUCUUCAUGCAUGCUGGAUGCGAAUGGAAGGUGUAUGAGGUGGCAAAGACGGUCUUUGAAAACAAUGACACAGAAACUAGAAAGUCUUUGCAAAGUGAUAAUGGUGGUAAAAAGUUGAUCAUUUUCUUGGCUUUCACUCUUCAUUUCAUCCAUCAAGCAUUCCUUUAUAUGUUUGCAUUGUUAUCUUGAGUUCUUGAUAUUAUCAUCUACAUUAUGGGGUUGUGAUUUUCUUUUUAUCUAUGGCAAGUUUGUUCCUUUGAUAAAUAGUGUUGGAUGCUUUUUUAGUGGUUUUCAAUUACUUUACUACUGUGGUGUGGGUGUUUCUCAUCUUGUUUAAUUUGGUUGUGCUUUUAUGUUAUCUCAUUCAAGUAAACGACGUGUAUUGUGUUCUUUGUGGUAUAUCAAGCUCUGUGAGACAUUUUGUUGUCGGGAUGUCUGUAAUUGUUUAGCAUUUUAGGAUUAGACUCUUGGUUCAAUUGAAAUUACAUGAAACUUCUCAUAUUCUAAUUUUGAUUUGAACAGCCCAAUUCACCUUCCAAAUGAGAUAAAACCAUUUCAAAAGUAAAGAAUUCCAUGACAUAUAUGUAG
This is a non-coding RNA of Sesamum indicum (sesame), 1542 nucleotides long. Lineage: Eukaryota; Viridiplantae; Streptophyta; Magnoliopsida; Lamiales; Pedaliaceae. The record is from RefSeq and is a predicted model, not a curated record.